RNAcentral lists this ribosomal RNA (505 nucleotides) under uncultured bacterium. RNAcentral's name for it is "partial 16S ribosomal RNA". It matches the Rfam family "Bacterial small subunit ribosomal RNA", at positions 33 to 541 of the family's 1533-position model. The record is from RNAcentral.
GAUGAACGCUGGCGGCGUGCUUAACACAUGCAAGUCGAACGGAAAGGCUCCUGCUUGCAGGGGUACUCGAGUGGCGAACGGGUGAGUAACACGUGGGUGAUCUGCCCUGCACUUCGGGAUAAGCCUGGGAAACUGGGUCUAAUACCGGAUAGGACGAUGGUUUGGAUGCCAUUGUGGAAAGUUUUUCGGUGUGGGAUGAGCUCGCGGCCUAUCAGCUUGUUGGUGGGGUAAUGGCCUACCAAGGCGUCGACGGGUAGCCGGCCUGAGAGGGUGUACGGCCACACUGGGAUGGAGAUCCGACACGGAUUACAGAGGGGGGAGGUAGGGGGGAAUAGUGCACAGUGGGGGAGUGCGUGGUGGAGGGCCGGGGGGGGGGGGGGGAUGGCUUGGGGGUUGUGAACCGAUGUGGCGAGGGAGGAGACGAGAGUGGCGGUGCGGAGAGAAGAAGAACAGCAUAACUACGCGCCAGCAGCGGCGGAAAUAGUCGAAGUGAAAACGUACUAAG